This is a non-coding RNA of Coffea arabica (coffee), 448 nucleotides long. Lineage: Eukaryota; Viridiplantae; Streptophyta; Magnoliopsida; Gentianales; Rubiaceae. The record is from RefSeq and is a predicted model, not a curated record.
AUGGAAGCAGGCUGCAUCCAAGCUUAGGGGUGUACAAGUUUUUACUUACACAGAGCUUGAGAUUGCAACAAACAAAUUUAGUGCAGCAAAUGUGAUAGGAAAUGGAGGGUAUGGGGUAGUGUAUAGAGGGAUUUUGAGUGAUGGCACCGUGGCUGCAAUUAAGAUGUUGCACAGAGAAGGGAAACAAUGAGGAACGUGCCUUUCGGUUAGAGGUUGUGAUUGGGAUGGAUGUGGCUGCUUCUGAGUUUUAUGGUAAAGACAAGACUUAUGAUCUAAACUUCAAAGAAGAGAAUAAUGAUGGCUCACAAAAGAUAUCAGGUUAUGACUGAAGGCUCUCAUUUCAUUGGAAAGUUUGGAAGCUACUGCAAGUUCUUUCUACUUGCUAGGGAUGAGAAUAUUUUAGUUUGUGCACAAGAGAAUCUUUUAAGUUAGUGCACAUGAGAAUCUU